CAAUAGCGUAUAUUAAAGUUGUUGCAGUUAAAAAGCUCGUAGUUGGAUUUCUGGCAGGAGCGACCGGUCACACACUCUGUGUGUGAACUUGCGUUGUCUCUGGCCAUCCUUGGGAAGAUCCUGUUUGGCAUUAAGUUGUCGGGCAGGGGAUACCCAUCGUUUACUGUGAAAAAAUUAGAGUGUUUAAAGCAGGCUUAUGCCGUUGAAUAUAUUAGCAUGGAAUAAUAAGAUAGGACUUCGGAACUAUUUUGUUGGUUUGCGUUACGAAGUAAUGAUUAAUAGGGACAGUUGGGGGUAUUCGUAUUUCGUUGUCAGAGGUGAAAUUCUUGGAUUUCCGAAAGACGAACUACUGCGAAAGCAUUUACCAAGGAUGCUUUCAUUAA
Molecule: ribosomal RNA, 383 nt
Filed under: uncultured eukaryote
Lineage: Eukaryota
Description: partial 18S ribosomal RNA
Rfam family: Eukaryotic small subunit ribosomal RNA
Source: RNAcentral